UACGUAGGUGGCAAGCGUUGUUCGGGAUUAUUGGGCGUAAAGGGCGCGUAGGCGGUUUGUUAAGUCGGUUGUGAAAGCCCGGGGCUCAACCCCGGAGGGUCGACCGAUACUGGCAGGCUAGAGUACAGAAGAGGUAGCUGGAAUUCCCGGUGUAGCGGUGAAAUGCGAAGAUAUCGGGAGGAACACCAGAGGCGAAGGCGGGCUACUGGGCUGAUACUGACGCUGAUGCGCGAAAGCCAGGGGAGCAAACGGG
RNAcentral lists this ribosomal RNA (253 nucleotides) under uncultured bacterium. RNAcentral describes it as "partial 16S ribosomal RNA". It matches the Rfam family "Bacterial small subunit ribosomal RNA", at positions 524 to 776 of the family's 1533-position model. The record is from RNAcentral.